RNAcentral lists this long non-coding RNA (517 nucleotides) under Vitis vinifera (wine grape). Its description in RNAcentral is "long non-coding RNA (VVIN_LNC001560)". Lineage: Eukaryota; Viridiplantae; Streptophyta; Magnoliopsida; Vitales; Vitaceae. The record is from RNAcentral.
AGGUAAAAGGCAGCUAUUUGUGAUUACAAGAUGGAGAAAGCCUCGUACAAGCCAUGGAUCUUCUUAUUGCUUAUUGCACUUGGUUCUGUCUCUCUCUUUCUGUAUAUAUUCUCUAGUUGGGUCUUAUUUUCUUAUAAUAUAUAUGACAUGGUUGUGUUUGUCUGUGGGUGAAUGGAUGGCAGGUUUGGUGUUGGAAGGUUGUGAGGGAAGAGAGCUGGCGGAAGGCUGCAGUCUUAAUAAAGACUGCAGUGGGCGUUGUGACUGUCCAUUUUGUGUUUGUUUCGAGCAUCAACGAUGUGUUUGCUCCACUCAGCAAGACUUCACUGCUGACGCCUUGAUUGGAGGAGAGACAUAGGCAGAGCCAUAGCCAUAGCCUUAGACUUAUGAUUAUUUACUAAAUAAGUUUGAAUCUUCCCCUUCCCUUGACUGGUACUGUACUCGUUGAGUGAUGAAUUAAUAAAGACAAUAACUGGCACAAAUUUACUUAUCUUGCAAGCUUUUGCUUUUUCUUUCCCUU